RNAcentral lists this ribosomal RNA (492 nucleotides) under uncultured bacterium. RNAcentral's name for it is "partial 16S ribosomal RNA". It matches the Rfam family "Bacterial small subunit ribosomal RNA", at positions 29 to 507 of the family's 1533-position model. The record is from RNAcentral.
AGUGAACGCUGGCGGUAGGCCUAACACAUGCAAGUCGAACGGCAGCACAGUAAGAGCUUGCUCUUACGGGUGGCGAGUGGCGGACGGGUGAGGAAUACAUCGGAAUCUACUUUUUCGUGGGGGAUAACGUAGGGAAACUUACGCUAAUACCGCAUACGACCUACGGGUGAAAGCAGGGGAUCUUCGGACCUUGCGCGAUUGAAUGAGCCGAUGUCGGAUUAGCUAGUUGGCGGGGUAAGGGCCCACCAAGGCGACGAUCCGUAGCUGGUCUGAGAGGAUGAUCAGCCACACUGGAACUGAGACACGGUCCAGACUCCUACGGGAGGCAGCAGUGGGGAAUAUUGGACAAUGGGCGCAAGCCUGAUCCAGCCAUACCGCGUGGGUGAAGAAGGCCUUCGGGUUGUAAAGCCCUUUUGUUGGGAAAGAAAAGCAGCAGGUUAAUACCCCGCUGUUCUGACGGUACCCAAAGAAUAAGCACUGGCUAACUUCGUG